CUAGCGUAAAAUAUUACUGCUGCGGUUAAAAAGCUCGUAGUUGAAUCUAGUCGUGUCCGUAGGGUUUGUCGUUGGCGUUUAUUCGUCUCUGGCGUUAAUCCUCGGCCGAUUUUUGCUGGUUUACUGUUGGUCUUCGGAUCUUCGGUGGCUAGCGAGUUACUUUGAUCAAAUCAGAGUGCUCAAAACAGGCGAAAGCUUGUAUGAUUUCUCGAGGAAUAACAGAAGAGGACUUCGGUUCUAUUUGUUGGUUCCAGAAUCGUUUAAUGGUUAAGAGGGACAAUUCGGGGGCAAACGUAUCCUCGCGCGAGGGGUGAAAUCCGUAGACCGUGAGGAGACGACCAAUAG
Molecule: ribosomal RNA, 345 nt
Filed under: Rhabditis sp. DF5059
Lineage: Eukaryota; Metazoa; Nematoda; Chromadorea; Rhabditida; Rhabditidae
Also listed under: 1 other name
Description: bacterial SSU rRNA
Rfam family: Eukaryotic small subunit ribosomal RNA
Source: RNAcentral